GCCUGGGUGGCUCAGUUGGUUAAGCGUCCGACUUUGGCUCAGGUCAUGGUCUCACAGUUUGUGGGUUCGAGCCCCGCAUCGGGCU
Molecule: transfer RNA, 85 nt
Filed under: Felis catus (domestic cat)
Lineage: Eukaryota; Metazoa; Chordata; Mammalia; Carnivora; Felidae
Rfam family: tRNA
About the family: Transfer RNA (tRNA) molecules are approximately 80 nucleotides in length. Their secondary structure includes four short double-helical elements and three loops (D, anti-codon, and T loops).
Source: Rfam by way of RNAcentral